CCAAAGCCUGCCUUAACAUCAGUCCCAGAGCCUGGUGAGUCAACUCCCAGGGACAUACCAGAGUAUGCUGUGGUGAGGAAGGCACUGAAGAAGUCCCACUCCCUGCCAGAGACUGUGAAUGUGCCGGUCACAGCGCCCCCUGGUUUGCAGCAGGUGUUCAAGCCACCUUCUUGUUACAAGGAGGACACUGUGUGCCAUGACAGACCCAGUGGUGAGAGUGAUACCCCUGCAACCAACAACCCCACUGAUGCCGCAUACGCCCGUGUCAACAAACCUCCGCGAGCCAUGACCCAGACUCCACUGGCUUCUGUCAGCAGUUCAGCCUCCAGCCUGCAGGGGGCGAUGGCUCACUCUGCCCCCACAUCGCCACAGGCCUCAGCAGAGCAGAAGUACUGGCAUCUGGAACCAGAGCACACCUACGAGGAGACUCCUGCCACUGCCACACGGGAGCCGAUUGAUUUCUAUGCCAUGGGCCGGCGGAGAGAGGUGGAGCGUAAUGAGGGGAUUUCUGGAAAUCAUAUCUACUCUGAGGUCAACGUCCGUGGUGCUAGGGGGAUAGCUACGCUUCCCCCGGAGCCUGCACCAGCUAGACCUAGCAACACUGCUACACUUCCUGCUUCGUCAAGGACCACCCCUAACCUCCCUUUGAGGCCACCCCCGAGACACCCCA
Molecule: long non-coding RNA, 670 nt
Organism: Clupea harengus (Atlantic herring)
Lineage: Eukaryota; Metazoa; Chordata; Actinopteri; Clupeiformes; Clupeidae
Source: Ensembl